RNAcentral lists this ribosomal RNA (223 nucleotides) under uncultured prokaryote. Its description in RNAcentral is "partial 16S ribosomal RNA". It matches the Rfam family "Bacterial small subunit ribosomal RNA", at positions 524 to 745 of the family's 1533-position model. The record is from RNAcentral.
UACGUAGGGGGCGAGCGUUAUCCAGAUUUACUGGGCGUAAAGCGCGUGUAGGCGGCUGGUUAGGUGUGAUGUGAAAUCCUCGGGCUCAACCCGAGAACUGCAUUGCAAACCGGCCUGGCUAGAGUGCAGGAGAGGGAAGCGGAAUUUCCGGUGUAGCGGUGAAAUGCGUAGAUAUCGGAAGGAACAUCAGUGGCGAAAGCGGCUUCCUGGACCAGCACCGACG